AGUGAACGCUGGCGGUAGGCCUAACACAUGCAAGUCGAACGGCAGCACAGUAAGAGCUUGCUCUUACGGGUGGCGAGUGGCGGACGGGUGAGGAAUACAUCGGAAUCUACUUUUUCGUGGGGGAUAACGUAGGGAAACUUACGCUAAUACCGCAUACGACCUACGGGUGAAAGCAGAGGAUCUUCGGACCUUGCGCGAUUGAAUGAGCCGAUGUCGGAUUAGCUAGUUGGCGGGGUAAAGGCCCACCAAGACGACGAUCCGUAGCUGGUCUGAGAGGAUGAUCAGCCACACUGGAACUGAGACACGGUCCAGACUCCUACGGGAGGCAGCAGUGGGGAAUAUUGGACAAAGGGCGCAAGCCUGAUCCAGCCAUACCGCGUGGGUGAAGAAGGCCUUCGGGUUGUAAAGCCCUUUUGUUGGGAAAGAAAAGCAGCAGGUUAAUACCCCGCUGUUCUGACGGUACCCAAAGAAUAAGCACCGGCUAACUUCGUG
RNAcentral lists this ribosomal RNA (492 nucleotides) under uncultured bacterium. RNAcentral describes it as "partial 16S ribosomal RNA". It matches the Rfam family "Bacterial small subunit ribosomal RNA", at positions 29 to 507 of the family's 1533-position model. The record is from RNAcentral.